UCGCGACCACACGGGUGCCCUGGCAAGGGCUGAGAUCGGACUAUCGCCGUCCGCGACCGUUGAACCUGUCCGGGUAAUGCCGGCGAAGGAAGUGAGUUUCCCCAGUGG
This 108-nucleotide non-coding RNA is filed under the name Glutamicibacter arilaitensis. RNAcentral's name for it is "Arthrobacter arilaitensis TPP sequence". It matches the Rfam family "TPP riboswitch aptamer (THI element)". From Rfam's summary of the family: Vitamin B(1) in its active form thiamin pyrophosphate (TPP) is an essential coenzyme that is synthesised by coupling of pyrimidine and thiazole moieties in bacteria. The previously detected thiamin-regulatory element, thi box was extended, resulting in a new, highly conserved RNA secondary structure, the THI element, which is widely distributed in eubacteria and also occurs in some archaea. Analysis of operon structures identified a large number of new candidate thiamin-regulated genes, mostly transporters, in various prokaryotic organisms. Lineage: Bacteria; Bacillati; Actinomycetota; Actinomycetes; Micrococcales; Micrococcaceae. The record is from RNAcentral.